This 429-nucleotide ribosomal RNA is filed under the name uncultured bacterium. Its description in RNAcentral is "bacterial SSU rRNA". It matches the Rfam family "Bacterial small subunit ribosomal RNA", at positions 28 to 430 of the family's 1533-position model. The record is from RNAcentral.
GAUGAACGCUGGCGGUGUGCCUAAUACAUGCAAGUCGAACGGACCUUUGUUUUUGUAGAAUCUCUCCACAUGUGGGAGCGUCUCAUAAACAAUGGUUAGUGGCGGACGGGUGAGUAACACGUUGGUACCUGCCCCGAAGUGGGGAAUAACUGCCCGAAAGAUUAGCUAAUACCGCAUGAGAUCGAGAGAUGAAAGCAGGGGACCGCAAGGCCUUGCGCGAUUGGAGCGGCCGAUGUCGGAUUAGCUAGUUGGCGGGGUAAAGGCCCACCAAGGCGACGAUCCGUAGCUGGUUUGAGAGAACGACCAGCCACACUGGGACUGAGACACGGCCCAGACUCCUACGGGAGGCAGCAGUGGGGAAUAUUGGACAAUGGGCGCAAGCCUGAUCCAGCCAUGCCGCGUGAGUGAUGAAGCCUUAGGGUUGUAAAG